UACGUAGGGUGCGAGCGUUAAUCGGAAUUACUGGGCGUAAAGCGUGCGCAGGCGGUUUUGUAAGCCAGAUGUGAAAUCCCCGGGCUUAACCUGGGAAUGGCAUUUGGGACUGCAAGGCUGGAGUGUGGCAGAGGAGACGUGGAAUUCCUGGGUGUAGCAGUGAAAUGCGUAGAUAUCUGGAGGAACACCGGUGGCGAAGGCGGCGAUCCUGGACCAACACUGGACGCUGAGGAGCGAAAGCCAGGGGAGCAAACGGGG
This 258-nucleotide ribosomal RNA is filed under the name uncultured bacterium. RNAcentral's name for it is "partial 16S ribosomal RNA". It matches the Rfam family "Bacterial small subunit ribosomal RNA", at positions 524 to 777 of the family's 1533-position model. The record is from RNAcentral.